Molecule: ribosomal RNA, 460 nt
Filed under: uncultured Bacteroidota bacterium
Lineage: Bacteria; Pseudomonadati; Bacteroidota
Description: uncultured Bacteroidetes bacterium partial 16S ribosomal RNA
Source: RNAcentral
GACUACUGGGGUAUCUAAUCCUGUUCGCUACCCACGCUUUCGUGCCUCAGCGUCAAUAAUAUCUUUGCAAGCUGCCUUCGCGAUCGGUGUUCUGAAUCAUAUCUAUGAAUGUCACCUCUACAUGAUUCAUUCCGCCUGCACCAUUUAUAUUCUAGACUAACAGUAUCAACGGCAGUUACUCAGUUAAGCUGAGUGAUUUCACCGCUGACUUAUUAGCCCGCCUACGCACCCUUUAAACCCAAUAAAUCCGGAUAACGCUCGAAUCCUCCGUAUUACCGCGGCUGCUGGCACGGAGUUAGCCGAUCCUUAUUCAUGUGAUACCUUCAGCUAGAUUCGCAAAUCUAGGUUUAUCCUCACAUAAAAGCAGUUUACAACCCGUAGGGCCGUCUUCCUGCACGCGGCAUGGCUGGUUCAGGCUUGCGCCCAUUGACCAAUAUUCCUCACUGCUGCCCCCCGUAGG